Molecule: long non-coding RNA, 514 nt
Organism: Suricata suricatta (meerkat)
Lineage: Eukaryota; Metazoa; Chordata; Mammalia; Carnivora; Herpestidae
Exons: 2
Source: RefSeq, a predicted model, not a curated record
CUGGAGGCCAGUGGGGACUCUCCGGGGAAGUCCCCCUAGGAGGGAAGACUGGCAGAGUUGAGAGGGAUUUCUGGUCAUCGCUGAAGUCAGGCUGUGGACCCUGAGUGUGGCGGAGGCUAGGAAGUGCUGUACUGAUCCUUCUUUGGGACUGAAAGACUGAUUCCCCCGGCUGCCGGGCCCGGGGUCGUGGCUGGAAGAUAGCCCUCCCUGGAGACUGUGCCACUUGGAAGAAAACUGCCUCACCCGAAGUCAUGCCCUCUUCCAGAUGUGCCCCUGUGACAUGAAGCGUGUGUCCCUGCAUCACAGUUACAGUGACAGAUCAGUGUGGACCUGCAAAGACCCAAACCUCUCCCGCUCACGUGAGCCAUGUCCGCAGGGUCACCCCAUCUCCAGAACUCUCUGUCGGGACUGCCUCAAAGCUGGGCUUCUUCCUCUGCCCAGACCUUCCUCCUGCUCCUCCCUUCUGCAGGUGUUUUUCCCAAGCGCCCUUUCUAAAUAACAUCCUCCACACCCA